GAUAGCUCAGCGGUGGAGCAGGUGACUGUUAAUCACAAGGUCGUAGGUUCAAAUCCUACUC
This 61-nucleotide transfer RNA is filed under the name human gut metagenome. It matches the Rfam family "tRNA", at positions 6 to 65 of the family's 71-position model. Rfam says of the family: Transfer RNA (tRNA) molecules are approximately 80 nucleotides in length. The record is from RNAcentral. RNAcentral also lists the same sequence under 1 other name.